RNAcentral lists this unclassified non-coding RNA (344 nucleotides) under soil metagenome. Its description in RNAcentral is "partial contains 5.8S ribosomal RNA, internal transcribed spacer 2, and large subunit ribosomal RNA". The stretch from base 1 to 119 matches the Rfam family "5.8S ribosomal RNA", at positions 35 to 154 of the family's 154-position model. The record is from RNAcentral.
GAUGAAGAACGUAGCGAAAUGCGAUAAGUAAUGCGAAUUGCAGAAUCCGUGAGUCAUCGAAUCUUUGAACGCAUAUUGCGCCCUUUGGCAUUCCGAAGGGCAUGCCUGUUCGAGCGUCAUUAUCACCCCUCAAGCCCCGGCUUGGUGUUGGGCUUAGUUACGGAUCACCUAUAACUGGCCUCAAAGAUAGUGACGGCGCCCCAGGGGGAACCGGUACGAGGAGCUUCCAGUUAAGCAUGUACGCGGGACGACUCUGCGGGCGACGGUCUUUUCAUUUCUCCAAUUGUUGACCUCGGAUCAGGUAGGAAUACCCGCUGAACUUAAGCAUAUCAAUAAGCGGAGGA